Molecule: transfer RNA, 67 nt
Filed under: Enteroscipio rubneri
Lineage: Bacteria; Bacillati; Actinomycetota; Coriobacteriia; Eggerthellales; Eggerthellaceae
Rfam family: tRNA
About the family: Transfer RNA (tRNA) molecules are approximately 80 nucleotides in length. Their secondary structure includes four short double-helical elements and three loops (D, anti-codon, and T loops). Further hydrogen bonds mediate the characteristic L-shaped molecular structure. tRNAs have two regions of fundamental functional importance: the anti-codon, which is responsible for specific mRNA codon recognition, and the 3' end, to which the tRNAs corresponding amino acid is attached (by aminoacyl-tRNA synthetases). tRNAs cope with the degeneracy of the genetic code in two manners: having more than one tRNA (with a specific anti-codon) for a particular amino acid; and 'wobble' base-pairing, i.e. permitting non-standard base-pairing at the 3rd anti-codon position.
Source: RNAcentral
GGCGUGGCGCAGUUUGGUAGCGCGCCUGCUUUGGGAGCAGGAUGUCGCAGGUUCGAAUCCUGUCGCC